Molecule: ribosomal RNA, 892 nt
Filed under: Sarcocystis sp. 8D-Fu132
Lineage: Eukaryota; Apicomplexa; Conoidasida; Eucoccidiorida; Sarcocystidae
Description: SSU rRNA
Rfam family: Eukaryotic small subunit ribosomal RNA
Source: RNAcentral
GGUGAUUCAUAGUAACCGAACGGAUCGCAUUAUAAUUAUCAUUAUUUGAUGAUUGGCGAUAGAUCAUUCAAGUUUCUGACCUAUCAGCUUUCGACGGUAGUGUAUUGGACUACCGUGGCAGUGACGGGUAACGGGGAAUUAGGGUUCGAUUCCGGAGAGGGAGCCUGAGAAACGGCUACCACAUCUAAGGAAGGCAGCAGGCGCGCAAAUUACCCAAUCCUGACUCAGGGAGGUAGUGACAAGAAAUAACAACACUGGAAAUUUGAUUUCUAGUGAUUGGAAUGAUGGGAAUCCAAACCCCUUUCAGAGUAACAAUUGGAGGGCAAGUCUGGUGCCAGCAGCCGCGGUAAUUCCAGCUCCAAUAGCGUAUAUUAAAGUUGUUGCAGUUAAAAAGCUCGUAGUUGGAUGUCUGCUGGAAGCAAUCAGUCCGCCCUAUUUGUAGGGUGUGCACUUGAUGAAUUCUGGCAUUUUUGUCCCAAUGAUGUAACGGAGCGGUGGUAUUCGGUGAAAGCCGAGUAUCCCGUUUUCCGAUUAUUGGGAUACUGUUACUUUGAGAAAAUUAGAGUGUUUGAAGCAGGCUAAUUGCCUUGAAUACUGCAGCAUGGAAUAACAAUAUAGGAUUUCGGUUCUAUUUUGUUGGUUUCUAGGACUGAAAUAAUGAUUAAUAGGGACAGUUGGGGGCAUUCGUAUUUAACUGUCAGAGGUGAAAUUCUUAGAUUUGUUAAAGACGAACUACUGCGAAAGCAUUUGCCAAAGAUGUUUUCAUUAAUCAAGAACGAAAGUUAGGGGCUCGAAGACGAUCAGAUACCGUCGUAGUCUUAACCAUAAACUAUGCCGACUAGAGAUAGGAAAAUGUCAUUUUGCUGACUUCUCCUGCACCUUAUGAGAAAUC